This 1443-nucleotide ribosomal RNA is filed under the name uncultured organism. RNAcentral describes it as "SSU rRNA". It matches the Rfam family "Bacterial small subunit ribosomal RNA". The record is from RNAcentral.
ACGCUAGCUACAGGCUUAACACAUGCAAGUCGAGGGGCAGCAUUUCAGUUUGCUUGCAAACUGGAGAUGGCGACCGGCGCACGGGUGAGUAACACGUAUCCAACCUGCCGAUAACUCGGGGAUAGCCUUUCGAAAGAAAGAUUAAUACCCGAUGGUAUAAUCAGACCGCAUGGUCUUGUUAUUAAAGAAUUUCGGUUAUCGAUGGGGAUGCGUUCCAUUAGGCAGUUGGUGAGGUAACGGCUCACCAAACCUUCGAUGGAUAGGGGUUCUGAGAGGAAGGUCCCCCACAUUGGAACUGAGACACGGUCCAAACUCCUACGGGAGGCAGCAGUGAGGAAUAUUGGUCAAUGGGCGCAGGCCUGAACCAGCCAAGUAGCGUGAAGGAUGACUGCCCUAUGGGUUGUAAACUUCUUUUAUAUGGGAAUAAAGUUUUCCACGUGUGGAAUUUUGUAUGUACCAUAUGAAUAAGGAUCGGCUAACUCCGUGCCAGCAGCCGCGGUAAUACGGAGGAUCCGAGCGUUAUCCGGAUUUAUUGGGUUUAAAGGGAGCGUAGGUGGACAGUUAAGUCAGUUGUGAAAGUUUGCGGCUCAACCGUAAAAUUGCAGUUGAUACUGGCUGUCUUGAGUACAGUAGAGGUGGGCGGAAUUCGUGGUGUAGCGGUGAAAUGCUUAGAUAUCACGAAGAACUCCGAUUGCGAAGGCAGCUCACUGGACUGCAACUGACACUGAUGCUCGAAAGUGUGGGUAUCAAACAGGAUUAGAUACCCUGGUAGUCCACACAGUAAACGAUGAAUACUCGCUGUUUGCGAUAUACAGUAAGCGGCCAAGCGAAAGCAUUAAGUAUUCCACCUGGGGAGUACGCCGGCAACGGUGAAACUCAAAGGAAUUGACGGGGGCCCGCACAAGCGGAGGAACAUGUGGUUUAAUUCGAUGAUACGCGAGGAACCUUACCCGGGCUUAAAUUGCAUUUGAAUAAUCUGGAAACAGGUUAGCCGCAAGGCAAAUGUGAAGGUGCUGCAUGGUUGUCGUCAGCUCGUGCCGUGAGGUGUCGGCUUAAGUGCCAUAACGAGCGCAACCCUUAUCUUUAGUUACUAACAGGUCAUGCUGAGGACUCUAGAGAGACUGCCGUCGUAAGAUGUGAGGAAGGUGGGGAUGACGUCAAAUCAGCACGGCCCUUACGUCCGGGGCUACACACGUGUUACAAUGGGGGGUACAGAAGGCAGCUACCUGGUGACAGGAUGCUAAUCCCAAAAGCCUCUCUCAGUUCGGAUCGAAGUCUGCAACCCGACUUCGUGAAGCUGGAUUCGCUAGUAAUCGCGCAUCAGCCAUGGCGCGGUGAAUACGUUCCCGGGCCUUGUACACACCGCCCGUCAAGCCAUGAAAGCCGGGGGUACCUGAAGUACGUAACCGCAAGGAGCGUCCUAGGGUAAAACUGGUAAUUGGG